UACAGAGGGUGCGAGCGUUAAUCGGAAUUACUGGGCAUAAAGCGCGUGUAGGCGGCAUUGUAAGUCGGGUGUGAAAUCCCUCGGCCUAACCGAGGAAUUGCGCUCGAAACUACUUUGCUUGAGGAUCAGAGGGGAGCCUGGAAUUCCUGGUGGAGCGGUGAAAUGCGUUGAUAUCAGGAGGAACACCGGCGGCGAAGGCGAGGCUCUGGCUGAUUUCUGACGCUGAGACGCGAAAGCUAGGGGAGCAAACGGG
Molecule: ribosomal RNA, 253 nt
Filed under: uncultured bacterium
Lineage: Bacteria
Description: partial 16S ribosomal RNA
Rfam family: Bacterial small subunit ribosomal RNA
Source: RNAcentral